This 520-nucleotide ribosomal RNA is filed under the name uncultured Glomus. RNAcentral's name for it is "SSU rRNA". It matches the Rfam family "Eukaryotic small subunit ribosomal RNA", at positions 569 to 1091 of the family's 1831-position model. The record is from RNAcentral. Lineage: Eukaryota; Fungi; Glomeromycota; Glomeromycetes; Glomerales; Glomeraceae.
AGCAGCCGCGGUAAUUCCAGCUCCAAUAGCGUAUAUUAAAGUUGUUGCAGUUAAAAAGCUCGUGGUUGAAUUUCGGGAUCAAUGCGUCGGUCGUGCCUUCGGUACGUACUAGCGUCAUUGAUUCCUCCCUUCUGAAGAACCGUGAUGUCAUUAAUUUGGUGUUACGGGGAAUCAGGACUGUUACCUUGAAAAAAUUAGAGUGUUUAAAGCAGGCUAACGCUUGAAUACAUUAGCAUGGAAUAAUGAAAUAGGACGUUCGAACCUAUUUUGUUGGUUUCUAGGAUCGACGUAAUGAUUAAUAGGGAUAGUUGGGGGCAUUAGUAUUCAAUUGUCAGAGGUGAAAUUCUUGGAUUUAUUGAAGACUAACUACUGCGAAAGCAUUUGCCAAGGAUGUUUUCAUUAAUCAAGAACGAAAGUUAGGGGAUCGAAGACGAUCAGAUACCGUCGUAGUCUUAACCAUAAACUAUGCCGACUAGGGAUCGGAUGAUGUUAAUUUUUAAUGACUCAUUCGGCGCCUUAC